Molecule: ribosomal RNA, 254 nt
Filed under: uncultured bacterium
Lineage: Bacteria
Description: partial 16S ribosomal RNA
Rfam family: Bacterial small subunit ribosomal RNA
Source: RNAcentral
AACGUAGGUGGCGAGCGUUAUCCGGAUUUACUGGGCGUAAAGGGCGCGUAGGCGGUCAGCACAAGUCAGUUGUGAAAUCUCCGGGCUUAACUCGGAAAGGUCAACUGAUACUGUGCGACUAGAGUGCAGAAGGGGCAACUGGAAUUCUCGGUGUAGCGGUGAAAUGCGUAGAUAUCGAGAGGAACACCUGCGGCGAAGGCGGGUUGCUGGGCUGACACUGACGCUGAUGCGCGAAAGCCAGGGGAGCGAACGGG